CCUUAGGGGGAUGCGGUCUAUAAUGCAGUCGAGCGAGUCCUUCGGGGGCGAUCGGCGGACGGGUGAGUAACACGUAGGCAACCUGCCUCUCACACUGGGAUAACAUAGGGAAACUUAUGCUAAUACCGGAUAGGUUUUUGGAUCGCAUGAUCUGAAAAUAAAAGAUGGCUUUUCACUAUCACUGGGAGAUGGCCCUGCGGCGCAGUACCUAGUUGGUGGGGUAACGGCCUACCAAGGCGACUAUGCGUAGCCAACCUGAGAGGGUGACCGGCCACGCUGGGACUGAAACACGGCCCAGACUCCUACCGGAGGCACCAAUAGGGAAUUUUCCACAAUGGACUAAAGUCUGAUGGAACAACGCCACGUGAACGAUGAAGGUCUUCGGAUUGUAUUUUUCUGUUGUCAGGGACUAAUACGUACCGUUCAAAUAGGGCGGUACCUUGACGGUACCUGACAAGAAACCCACGGCUAACUACGUGCCAACCUCCCGCGGUACC
RNAcentral lists this ribosomal RNA (497 nucleotides) under uncultured bacterium. RNAcentral describes it as "bacterial SSU rRNA". It matches the Rfam family "Bacterial small subunit ribosomal RNA", at positions 37 to 524 of the family's 1533-position model. The record is from RNAcentral.